Molecule: non-coding RNA, 29 nt
Filed under: Mus musculus (house mouse)
Lineage: Eukaryota; Metazoa; Chordata; Mammalia; Rodentia; Muridae
Source: RNAcentral
UGAUCCAACAGCACACUGGUUUGUCUAGG